GUAUGGGCUAGACCGGGGAGUUCGGCGUUCCCUGCAACCAGAAAUCGUCGAUAUGCUGGGGUCGAAGUCAAGAGGCGGUGUGCCUGGUGGCAGGUGAUCCGUCUGCGGACGAUGAAGCUUUGUCCUCAGGGAUCGGAGGUGAUGAUUGCAUAUGAUCGGAGGGUCAUAUGCACAUCUUUGCUGUGGGUACCGGGUCAGGCCCGGAAGGGAGCAGCCUUACCACAGACUCUCGAUGCUCUGAGGGUUGGCAAGGCUGAGGAUGUAGCCGGGUAGUCACCUGUUUGCUAGGUAUGCCCACUCGAGACGUGCCCAUGC
RNAcentral lists this signal recognition particle RNA (315 nucleotides) under Thermoplasmatales archaeon. RNAcentral's name for it is "signal recognition particle sRNA". It matches the Rfam family "Archaeal signal recognition particle RNA". Lineage: Archaea; Methanobacteriati; Thermoplasmatota; Thermoplasmata; Thermoplasmatales. The record is from RNAcentral.